This 459-nucleotide ribosomal RNA is filed under the name uncultured bacterium. Its description in RNAcentral is "SSU rRNA". It matches the Rfam family "Bacterial small subunit ribosomal RNA", at positions 26 to 518 of the family's 1533-position model. The record is from RNAcentral.
AGAAUCAACGCUGGCGGCGUGCCUAACACAUGCAAGUCGCACGAGAAAGAGGGGGCAACCCCUUGAGUAAAGUGGCGUACGGGUGAGUAACACGUGACUAACCUACCUCCGAAUGGGGAAUAACCUCGGGAAACCGGGGCUAAUACCGCAUAACAUCUACGGAUCAAAGCAGCAAUGCGUUUGGAGAGGGGGUCGCGGCUGAUUAGCUAGUUGGUAGGGUAAUGGCCUACCAAGGCGACGAUCAGUAUCCGGCCUGAGAGGGCGCACGGACACACUGGAACUGAAACACGGUCCAGACUCCUACGGGAGGCAGCAGUGGGAAUUUGCGCAAUGGGGGAAACCCUGACGCAGCAACGCCGCGUGGAGGAUGAAGGUCUUUGGAUUGUAAACUCCUUUCGAUCGGGACGAUUAUGACGGUACCGGAAGAAGAAGCACGGCUAACUCUGCGCCAGCAGCCGC